GGGGAUCUGCCCGAUAGAGGGGGAUAACCACUGGAAGCGGUGGCUAAUACCGCAUAACGUCGCAAGACCAAAGAGGGGGACCUUCGGGCCUCUCACUAUCGGAUGAACCCAGAUGGGAUUAGCUAGUAGGCGGGGUAAUGGCCCACCUAAGCGACGAUCCCUAGCUGGUCUGAGAGGAUGACCAGCCACACUGGAACUGAGACACGGUCCAGACUCCUACGGGAGGCAGCAGUGGGGAAUAUUGCACAAUGGGCGCAAGCCUGAUGCAGCCAUGCCGCGUGUAUGAAGAAGGCCUUCGGGUUGUAAAGUACUUUCAGCGGGGAGGAAGGCGAUGGGGUUAAUAACCUUAUCGAUUGACGUUACCCGCAGAAGAAGCACCGGCUAACUCCGUGCCAGCAGCCGCGGUAAUACGGAGGGUGCAAGCGUUAAUCGGAAUUACUGGGCGUAAAGCGCACGCAGGCGGUCUGUUAAGUCAGAUGUGAAAUCCCCGGGCUUAACCUGGGAACUGCAUUUGAAACUGGCAGGCUUGAGUCUUGUAGAGGGGGGUAGAAUUCCAGGU
RNAcentral lists this ribosomal RNA (559 nucleotides) under uncultured bacterium. RNAcentral's name for it is "bacterial SSU rRNA". It matches the Rfam family "Bacterial small subunit ribosomal RNA", at positions 120 to 674 of the family's 1533-position model. The record is from RNAcentral.